GAGCGUACGCUUUUCUCAAGGACUCAGCCAUGCAAGUGUAAAAGUUCAUACGAUUUAAAAGUGAGACUGCGGACGGCUCAGUAAAUCAGCGAUGAUCUAUCUGAUUGUACAUCCCAUUGGAUAACCGUGGGAAAUCUAGAGCUAAUACAUGCGUUGAUAUAAUGGUAUUGGAGUUGUGUUAGCAAUAAUGCAAUGACGUGCCAUUAAGCAUUUAUUAGAAUAAACCAACUGCUAACGUAUGUGAUAUGCGUUAGUGUGGGUGAGUCUAGAUAACUUUGCUGAUCGUAGUGGCGUUAAAGCCGGCGACAUUUCAGUUGAAUUUCUGCCCUAUCAAUUGGUUGGUAAGGUAGUGGCUUACCAAGGUUGUAACGGGUAACGGGGGAUCAGGGUUCGAUUCCGGAGAGGGAGCCUGAGAAACGGCUACCACAUCCAAGGAAGGCAGCAGGCGCGCAAAUUACCCAAUCCAGACAGUGGGAGGUGGCGACGAGAAUUACUAAGUGGUAGCCUUUAUGGUUAUCGACUUAGAAUGAACGUGAUUUAAGAAAUCCGUUGAGUAACAACUGGAGGGCAAGUCUGGUGCCAGCAGCCGCGGUAAUUCCAGCUCCAGUAGCGUACCUCAAAGUUGCUGCGUUUAAAACGCUCGUAGUUGGAUCACAUGGUUAAGGAUCAGUGAAUUGGCAUGUGAGUACAAUAAAUCCUCAAGUGUAGAUGUAGCGGGGUAUUAUCCCCGAUGCAAUUUAUAUGUUGUGGAGUACUGCAUGUCGAUUGUUAGCUGAACUUAACUGAUUGCAUAUGGGGAUGGUAAUUGACCUUAAGUGCGUCGAUUAUUGUGUCCCAUGGAGUGUGCCUUGAAUAAAACAG
This 861-nucleotide ribosomal RNA is filed under the name Myxobolus xiaoi. RNAcentral's name for it is "bacterial SSU rRNA". It matches the Rfam family "Eukaryotic small subunit ribosomal RNA", at positions 21 to 769 of the family's 1831-position model. Lineage: Eukaryota; Metazoa; Cnidaria; Myxozoa; Bivalvulida; Myxobolidae. The record is from RNAcentral.